CGGCAAACGGGUGCGUAACGCGUGAGUAAUCUACCUCUAUGUCGAGGAUAACCUUGCGAAAGUAAGGGUAAUACUUGAUGUGUCUAGUUUUACAUAAGUAGAACUAGGUAAAGUUCUCCGCAAGGAGCAUACAUAGAGAUGAGCUCGCGUACUAUCAGCUAGUUGGUAGGGUAAUGGCCUACCAAGGCUUUUGACGGUUAGGUGGCCUGAGAGGGUGGUCACCCACACGGGGACUGAGACACUGCCCCGACUCCUACGGGAGGCUGCAGUCGAGAAUCUUUAGCAAUGGACGAAAGUCUGACUAUGCGACGCCGCGUGAGGGAUGAAGUAUUUCGGUACGUAAACCUCUUUCGAUGGGGAAGAAGCCCUAGCAAUAGGGUUGACGGUACCUAGAGAAGAAGCCACGGCCAACUCCGUGCCAGCAGCCGCGGUAAUACGGGGGUGGCGAGCGUUACUCGGAUUUAUUGGGUGUAAAGGGCAGGUAGGUGGCUAUGUAAGUUGUAGGUGAAAUCCUUUGGCUCAACCAAAGAACUGCCUUCAAAACUGCAUAGCUGAGGCCAGCAGAGGAAAGCGGAAUUCCCGGUGUAAGGGUGAAAUCUGUAGAUAUCGGGAGGAACACCUGUGGCGAAAGCGGCUUUCUGGUCUGGCCCUGACACUGAUCUGCGAAAGCUAGGGGAGCAAACAGGAUUAGAUACCCUGGUAGUCCUAGCCGUAAACGAUGAGCACUAGUGUUGGGGGGGUAUACCUUCAGCGCCGUAAGAUAACUCGUUAAGUGCUCCACCUGGAGACUACGACCGCAAGGUUAAAAUCCAAAGGAAUUGACGGGGCCCGCACAAGCGGUGGAAACAUGUGGUUCAAUUCG
Molecule: ribosomal RNA, 862 nt
Filed under: uncultured bacterium
Lineage: Bacteria
Description: bacterial SSU rRNA
Rfam family: Bacterial small subunit ribosomal RNA
Source: RNAcentral